GUGGGGAAUAUUGCACAAUGGGCGAAAGCCUGAUGCAGCAACGCCGCGUGAAGGAAGAAGGCCCUUGGGUCGUAAACUUCUGUUCUAAGGGAAGAUAAUGACGGUACCUUAGGAGCAAGUCCCGGCUAACUACGUGCCAGCAGCCGCGGUAAUACGUAGGGGGCGAGCGUUAUCCGGAAUUAUUGGGCGUAAAGAGUACGUAGGUGGUUAUCUAAGCGAGGGGUUUAAGGCAAUAGCUCAACUAUUGUUUGCCCCGCGAACUGGGUGACUUGAGUGCUGGAGAGGAAAGCGGAAUUCCUAGUGUAGCGGUGAAAUGCGUAGAUAUUAGGAGGAACAUCAGUGGCGAAGGCGGCUUUCUGGACAGUAACUGACACUGAGGUACGAAAGUGUGGGGAGCAAACAGGAUUAGAUACCCGAGUAGUCC
This 424-nucleotide ribosomal RNA is filed under the name uncultured bacterium. RNAcentral's name for it is "partial 16S ribosomal RNA". It matches the Rfam family "Bacterial small subunit ribosomal RNA", at positions 354 to 796 of the family's 1533-position model. The record is from RNAcentral.